UGUAAACAUCCUUGACUGGAAGCUGUAAGGCGUUGCAAGGAGCUUUCAGUCGGAUGUUUACAGC
RNAcentral lists this microRNA precursor (64 nucleotides) under Bos taurus (domestic cattle). RNAcentral's name for it is "Bta-Mir-30-P1d_pre stem-loop". It matches the Rfam family "mir-30 microRNA precursor family", at positions 9 to 69 of the family's 77-position model. Rfam says of the family: This family consists of the mammalian microRNA (miRNA) precursor mir-30a. The record is from RNAcentral. Lineage: Eukaryota; Metazoa; Chordata; Mammalia; Artiodactyla; Bovidae.